Lolium rigidum is the source of this 209-nucleotide long non-coding RNA. RefSeq lists it as uncharacterized. The record is from RefSeq and is a predicted model, not a curated record. The transcript has 3 exons. NCBI's taxonomy places the organism in Eukaryota, Viridiplantae, Streptophyta, Magnoliopsida, Poales, Poaceae.
UCCUCCCCUCCUACUCGUGGAGUUGUUGUGUCCAUCUACUACCCAGUACGCCUGAUCCAUGAGGCAGAGGCAGAUAAGGAUUGACAGUCUGAGGUUAUUAUAGUUAUGCAGAAAAUUGUCACGGCUCUGCUUCAUCCUGAUGGUGCGUGGUUCAGAAAAGUGUUGCGGCUCUGCUUUUGUCUGAUGGUGCUUGGGCCAGGACAGAACAC